CCAAUAGCGUAUAUUAAAGUUGUUGCAGUUAAAAAGCUCGUAGUUGAAUUUCGGGAUCAGAUUGUCGGUCGUGCCUCGGUACGCACUGGCAUUAUUGGUUCCUACCUUCUGAAGAACCGCGAUGUCAUUAAUUUGGUGUCGUGGGGAAUCAGGACUGUUACUUUGAAAAAAUUAGAGUGUUUAAAGCAGGCGCACGCUUGAAUACAUUAGCAUGGAAUAAUGAAAUAGGACGUUUGAUUCUAUUUUGUUGGUUUCUAGGAUCGACGUAAUGAUUAAUAGGG
Molecule: ribosomal RNA, 281 nt
Filed under: uncultured Glomus
Lineage: Eukaryota; Fungi; Glomeromycota; Glomeromycetes; Glomerales; Glomeraceae
Description: partial 18S small subunit ribosomal RNA
Rfam family: Eukaryotic small subunit ribosomal RNA
Source: RNAcentral